This 497-nucleotide ribosomal RNA is filed under the name uncultured bacterium. Its description in RNAcentral is "partial 16S ribosomal RNA". It matches the Rfam family "Bacterial small subunit ribosomal RNA", at positions 28 to 507 of the family's 1533-position model. The record is from RNAcentral.
GAUGAACGCUGGCGGCGUGCCUAAUACAUGCAAGUCGAGCGAGCAGACGAGGAGCUUGCUCCUCUGACGUUAGCGGCGGACGGGUGAGUAACACGUGGAUAACCUACCUAUAAGACUGGGAUAACUUCGGGAAACCGGAGCUAAUACCGGAUAAUAUAUUGAACCGCAUGGUUCAAUAGUGAAAGACGGUUUUGCUGUCACUUAUAGAUGGAUCCGCGCCGCAUUAGCUAGUUGGUAAGGUAACGGCUUACCAAGGCAACGAUGCGUAGCCGACCUGAGAGGGUGAUCGGCCACACUGGAACUGAGACACGGUCCAGACUCCUACGGGAGGCAGCAGUAGGGAAUCCUCCGCAAUGGGCGAAAGCCUGACGGAGCAACGCCGCGUGAGUGAUGAAGGUCUUCGGAUCGUAAAACUCUGUUAUUAGGGAAGAACAAAUGUGUAAGUAACUAUGCACGUCUUGACGGUACCUAAUCAGAAAGCCACGGCUAACUACGUG